This 433-nucleotide ribosomal RNA is filed under the name uncultured bacterium. RNAcentral's name for it is "partial 16S ribosomal RNA". It matches the Rfam family "Bacterial small subunit ribosomal RNA", at positions 29 to 507 of the family's 1533-position model. The record is from RNAcentral.
AGCGAACGCUGGCGGCAGGCCUAACACAUGCAAGUCGAACGAACUCUUCGGAGUUAGUGGCGGACGGGUGAGUAACACGUGGGAACGUGCCUUUUGGUUCGGAAUAACUCAGGGAAACUUGUGCUAAUACCGAAUGUGCCCUUCGGGGGAAAGAUUUAUCGCCAUUAGAGCGGCCCGCGUCUGAUUAGCUAGUUGGUGAGGUAACGGCUCACCAAGGCGACGAUCAGUAGCUGGUCUGAGAGGAUGACCAGCCACACUGGGACUGAGACACGGCCCAGGCUCCUACGGGAGGCAGCAGUGGGGAAUCUUGCGCAAUGGGCGAAAGCCUGACGCAGCCAUGCCGCGUGAAUGAUGAAGGUCUUAGGAUUGUAAAAUUCUUUCACCGGGGACGAUAUUGACGGUACCCGGAGAAGAAGCCCCGGCUAACUUCGUG